UACGUAGGGGGCAAGCGUUGUCCGGAAUUAUUGGGCGUAAAGAGCGCGUAGGCGGUCCGAUAAGUCGGCUGUGAAAGUCAGGGGCUCAACCCUUAAAGCCGGCCGAUCUGCGGACUAGAGUCCGGAAGAGGCAAGUGGAAUUCCCGGUGAGCGGUGAAAUGCGCAGAUAUCAGGAGGAACACCAUGGCGAAGGCAGCUCGCUGGGACGGUACUGACGCUGAGACGCGAA
This 229-nucleotide ribosomal RNA is filed under the name uncultured bacterium. RNAcentral's name for it is "partial 16S ribosomal RNA". It matches the Rfam family "Bacterial small subunit ribosomal RNA", at positions 524 to 757 of the family's 1533-position model. The record is from RNAcentral.